GACGAACGCUGGCGGCGUGCUUAACACAUGCAAGUCGAACGGAAAGGCCCUGCUUGUGUGGGGUUCUCGAGUGGCGAACGGGUGAGUAACACAGGAAUAUCCUGCCCUGGACGUGGGGAUAACUUCAGGAAACUGGGGCUAAUACCGGAUAGGUGCUCCUGCUGCAGGGGGGGGGUCGGAAAUUUUGGGCGGUGGGGGAUGGACUCGCGGCUAACCAGCUGGUUGGUGGGGUAGUGGCUUACCAAGGCUUUGGCGGGUAGCCGGCCUGAGAGGGUGAACGGCCACAUUGGGACUGAGAUACGGCCCAGACUCCUACGGGAGGCAGCAGUGGGGAAUAUUGCACAAUGGGCGGAAGCCUGAUGCAGCAACGCCGCGUGCGGGAUGACGGCCUUCGGGUUGUAAACCGCUUUCGCCUGUGACGAAGCGUGAGUGACGGUAAUGGGUAAAGAAGCACCGGCUAACUACGUG
Molecule: ribosomal RNA, 468 nt
Filed under: uncultured bacterium
Lineage: Bacteria
Description: partial 16S ribosomal RNA
Rfam family: Bacterial small subunit ribosomal RNA
Source: RNAcentral